CACCCCGGGACGGCGCCGCCGCCAUGUGCCGGCCUCACAGCCUGGUAUAACAUUGCCGCCAUGUGCCGGCCUCACAGCCUGGUAUAACAUCGCCUGGUAGAACAUUGCCGCCAUGUGCCACGCCUCACAGCCUGGUAUAACAUCGCCUGGAAUAACGCCACCGCCAUGUGCCGCGCCUCACAGCCCGGUAUAGUGCCACCGCCACUUGCUGCGCCUCACAGUCCUGCUACCAGGAACUGGUGCUGGUUUUGGGCCUCAUGACCCGGUACUCUCCUGCUGCUGUGGGCUAGGCCUCAUGCCUAGCAGCCCCAGCCCAGCCUCACACUGCUUGCUCUCUGCUUUGGUGAGGGCACACAGGGCCAUUGCCAUGCUGUUAGGUAAAGCAGCCAGUGUCAACAGAUGCUGGGGACUGAGCAGAUCGAGCAGCCCUGCCAAGAAGGACUUGGAAGUUCUGGUGGACACAAGACUUAACAUGAGCCAUCAGUGCUCACUUAAAGGCCAGAAAGCCAAUCGUGGCCUGGGCUGCAUCCAAAGCAGCAUGGGAGGGAGAGGAUUCUGCCCCUCCACUGUGUGGGAUGUGGCAGAACUGCUGGACACAGCCUUACCUGGGCAGUGGAGGGACAGUUGCUGGAGAAAAGCCCUGGAGCACAGGACCUGCAAGAGCUGCGGUUUCACUCGCCUCAGAAUUUGCAUAUGAAAAUCUCCGAAUUGAAAGGUGUUUAUGUUCCUUCUCAAGCAAGAUAAACAUAAAGAGAAUAUGAAGAUUGCAAGGUAAAAUAUUGAAAAGUUGUGAAAUAACAAAACCACAAUGCACUCUGUACAUUUUUGUAAUUAAAUUUGUGCCUUCCAAUGGUGCACAAUUGCAUACUGUCUGUUCUGCAAAGCCUGGAGUCCUUGGACAAAUUGGACAAAUACGCUCUGAAGAAAAAGUUAGCAGAAGCUGAUAGAACAAUUGAAUUUCAUGCAGUUGGGCAGCAUUCAUGUACUGUAGACUGUAGCAGUGCAGCUAAGCUUGCAAGUUAACUAGUCUGAAUUACUCCAUCUGUUAUUACAGUCUACUGGCCUGGGACUUAGUUGCUAAAUGUCUCAGUUGCUAAAGAGACAUUCCUUCACCUAGAAAGGUAUUGACAGCAAUCUCUCAUCAGUUUCUGGGUUUUGCCUUAAAAAGCACAAUCUGUGCCAGAGAAAUUGAUUGAUUGCCAUAUCCUUCAAUGGACCAAACUGCUUCUAUUGCUUGUUGCGGGUUAAAAAACUGGGGGAAGCACUACUAAAUUACUGUGACAAAUACACCUAAUGAUGAUUUUUUAUUAUUAUUUUUAUUUUAAACUCUCCUAAACUCCAUCUUGUGUCUAGUCACUAUUUGAACGUGAUCUGGGAGUGAGAAGCAAUUGUCUAGUCCUGAUUUUGUACGUCAGUAAAACACCUGGAGCAGAGUGGGGAGGUCUUGCUCAUUAGCACUGAAGUUUGGGUUUGUUUAAUAUUGUUUGUUAUUCUUUGAGGCUCUAGACGCAGACAGCAAGUACCAACCCGUAUGACAUUGCAACUGGAGCUGCUGCCAAAGCUUCAUUAGAAUAGAUGUGUUCAGAUGGGAAGCCUGUAACUAUGAAUGCACAAACAGAUACUAAAUGAACAUCUGCAACACAAACACUAUUCAACACAUGUAUGCUUUACUCAUUUAUUCCAUAAGGUACACUUGUAAAAUUGAUUGCAUUUGGUCUGCUGUGGUUUGUUCUUACAGGAUCAUACCUUCAGGAAUUUGGCACAAGUAUAAACACUGAGGGGUGAUCUAAUGUGUUUAUAAGAUUAUUUUGUAAUGCUUGUUAGGCACAUGGAACAUGUUUAUAGUGUCCUUUUCAAGACAAUAUGAAAAGUCUCAAGUAUGCAACCCUGAAGAAAGCAUAAGCUUCCAGUCUUUGGAAGUAUGCUUCUGUAAAUGAAGAAGAAAAUGCCAACCCAAACUAUAAUCUGCCUUUUUAAACACUUCCAACAUAUCAUUAUGCAGAAUAAUAAUAAAAAAUUAGCAUCUAGGAGAGCCAGUGCCUCAUCAGCAUGUGUAUAUUUCUCCUGUCAACAUUACCCUAGCUCACCAGAUGAAAACACAGUCUAAACUGCUUGAAGUUACAAGAAAUGUGUGAGUUGGAUGAGCUGUAUCAGAGUGGAAAUGGCUACAGAGCCAUCACUAUUAAAAAUCCAGUUUUUUCAUUUGGAAGCAAAAUAAUUUUUUUUUUUUCCAAAACAGUUUUUCAUGGCAGCUUUGGUUAAAAGAAGUUCAGUAGAUUAACAUAAAUUGACAUAAUUUAGUUUUUAUUUAAGAAAUUGAUCUUGAAAAAAUGAUGCUAUGUACAUCUACUUACUGCAUCUGCUCACCCAGUUCUUAGAGCAGAGGCACAGGGCAUACACCUUGUCUAUUGGAUUUUUAUCCUUCCUAUUCAAAGAAAUUAAAUCCAAAACAUCUACUGCUCUAUGUAAUCCACAUAGUAAAGAAUAUCCAAGGAAACGGCUCUUUGGUUUAGCCUCUGCAUCCACUUCUACUCAAUGAAGUAAUUCAGCAGUAAAGAACAUUGUUCCACUGAGGUGGUUCCAGACUGUCUUAUAUUGACAGAGUCUUAAAGAGCAUGAAAGGUGCCAUAACACCAACUGAACAAAUGGUCUGGACGUCUUGUUGAAAAAUUACACUACUGGGUAAUGUUUGCAGUCAUAUUUACUGCUUUAAAAAAAAAAAAGUGAGUAAUAUAUAUUUAUUGGAGCAGUUGUCUUAUUGACAGCAAUUGUCAUACUGACAGCAGCUAUACUGCAAAAAUCCUUCAGCUAGAUUGGUUUCCUCUCUCACAAGCCUUGUCAGAGAAAGAAAGGGUGUUGUCUGUUACUUUGCCAAGAUACUGUAGUUCAUUAAAAUAUGGUGAACAGAUAUUCAACAGCAUGUGCCCUUGUUAACAGGAAGUGAAAAUUUCUUCUAUGAUGCUUCCUUUUGUUGUGAUUUGUAAAAAUUAAUUAACUCAUGCAAAAUAUUAACCAUUGCUUAUAUAGGAUUACAUAAGCAAACCACAUCCUUUUGAGCAGACAA
Molecule: long non-coding RNA, 3064 nt
Organism: Passer domesticus (house sparrow)
Lineage: Eukaryota; Metazoa; Chordata; Aves; Passeriformes; Passeridae
Exons: 3
Source: RefSeq, a predicted model, not a curated record